UACGAAGGGGGCUAGCGUUGUUCGGAAUUACUGGGCGUAAAGCGCACGUAGGCGGACAUUUAAGUCAGGGGUGAAAUCCCAGAGCUCAACUCUGGAACUGCCUUUGAUACUGGGUGUCUUGAGUAUGGAAGAGGUGAGUGGAAUUCCGAGUGUAGAGGUGGAAUUCGUAGAUAUUCGGAGGAACACCAGUGGCGAAGGCGGCUCACUGGUCCAUUACUGACGCUGAGGUGCGAAAGCGUGGGGAGCAAACAGG
RNAcentral lists this ribosomal RNA (253 nucleotides) under uncultured bacterium. Its description in RNAcentral is "partial 16S ribosomal RNA". It matches the Rfam family "Bacterial small subunit ribosomal RNA", at positions 524 to 776 of the family's 1533-position model. The record is from RNAcentral.